Long non-coding RNA from Oncorhynchus keta (chum salmon), 1476 nucleotides. RefSeq lists it as uncharacterized. Lineage: Eukaryota; Metazoa; Chordata; Actinopteri; Salmoniformes; Salmonidae. The transcript has 3 exons. The record is from RefSeq and is a predicted model, not a curated record.
AUUAAUCAGAGAGAUUCAACAUUAGUAAGUAUUAAUCAGAGAGAUUCAACAUUAGUAAGUAUUAAUCAGAGAGAUUCAACAUUAGUAAGUAUUAAUCAGAGAGAUUCAACAUUAGUAAGUAUUAAUCAGAGAGAUUCAACAUUAGUAAGUACAAAUCAGGAGAAAUUCACCAUUAAAGUUCACUGAACAAAAAUAUAAAACGCAACAUGCAACAAUUUCAAAGAUUUUGCUGAGAUACAGUUCAUAUGAGGAAAUCAGUCAAUUGAAAUACAUUCAUUAGGCCCUAAUCUAUGGAUUUCACAUGACUGGGCAGGGGUACAACCAUGGGUGGGCAUAGGGUCACCCACUGCAAAGCCAGGUCCAACCAAUCAGAAUGAGUUUUUCCCCACAAAAGGGCUUAAUUACAGACUAAAACCCCUCCCCCGGGGGGCUGGCGUGGUUCCACGUAGUCUGCGGUAGUGAGGCCGGUUGGAUGUACUGCCAAAUUCUAUAAAAAACAACUUUGGCUUAUGGUAGAGAAAUGCACGUUCAAUUCUCUGCUAACAGCUCUGGUUGUCAUUCCUGCAGUCAUCAUGCCAAUUGCACGCUCCAUGUGACAUUGUGUUGUGUGACAUUUACAUUACAUUUAAGUCAUUUAGCAGACGCUCUUAUCCAGAGCGACUUACAAAACUGCAUAUAUUAGAAUGGCCUUUUAUUAUCCCUAGCACAAGGUGCACCUGUGUAAUGAUCAUGCUGUUUAAUCAGUUUAUUGAUAUGCCACACCUGUCAAGUGGAUAGAUUAUAUUGGUAAAGGAGAAAUGCUCACAAACAGGGAUGUAAACAAAAUGGUGGCCAAAAUUUGAGAGAAAUAAGGUUUUUCUGUGAUCUUUUAUUUCAGCUCAUGAAACAUGGGACCAGCACUUUCCAUGUUGAAUUAAUAUUUUUGUUCAGUGUAGUUAUCAGAUGGAUUCACCAUUAGUAAGUAGUUAUCACCACGUCACCUUGACACACCCCAAUGUACGCAUCUAUUAUCCCUGUUACAUUAAAUAUUUAGCAUCAGAUUAACAGAACAGGGUUGAUAUAUUUGCUCCUAAUGAACAGGACCCAGAUUAACAGAACAUGUUGAUAUAUUAGUGCCUAAUGAACAGGACCCAGAUUAACAGAACAGGUUGAUAUAUUAGUGUCCAAUGAACAGGACCCAGAUUAACAUAACAGGGUUGAUAUAUUAGUGCCCAAUGAACAGGACCCAGAUUAACAGAACAGGUUGAUAUAUUAGUGCCUAAUGAACAGGACCCAGAUUAACAGAACAGGUUGAUAUAUUAGUGCCCAAUGAACAGGACCCAGAUUAACACAACAGGUUGAUAUAUUAGUGCCUAAUGAACAGGACCCAGAUUAACACAACAGGUUGAUAUAUUAGUGCCUAAUGAACAGGACCCAGAUUAACACAACAGGUUGAUAUAUUAGUGCCUAAUGAACAGGACCCAGAUUAACACAACA